UACGGAGGGGGCCAGCGUUGUUCGGAAUCAUUGGGCGUAAAGGGCGCGUAGGCGGCUUUGUAAGUCCGUUGUGAAAUCCCUCGGCUCAACCGAGGAACUGCGACGGAUACUGCUCGGCUUGAGUCCCGGAGAGGGUAGCGGAAUUCCCAGUGUAGCGGUGAAAUGCGUAGAUAUCAGGAGGAACACCAAUGGCGAAGGCAGCUCGCUGGGACGUGACUGACGCUGAGACGCGAAAGCGUGGGGAGCAAACAGG
This 253-nucleotide ribosomal RNA is filed under the name uncultured bacterium. RNAcentral's name for it is "partial 16S ribosomal RNA". It matches the Rfam family "Bacterial small subunit ribosomal RNA", at positions 524 to 776 of the family's 1533-position model. The record is from RNAcentral.